UUACACAUGGUGUAGUGGGAACACAGCCUUUUGCAAUUCAUCCGAUAGCGUUCAGUUAUAAAGGCAGUCUAGGGUUCGACUCCCUGUGUCUGAC
Mycena vulgaris is the source of this 94-nucleotide non-coding RNA. NCBI's taxonomy places the organism in Eukaryota, Fungi, Basidiomycota, Agaricomycetes, Agaricales, Mycenaceae. The record is from the annotation of a GenBank genome assembly.